RNAcentral lists this ribosomal RNA (448 nucleotides) under uncultured bacterium. Its description in RNAcentral is "bacterial SSU rRNA". It matches the Rfam family "Bacterial small subunit ribosomal RNA", at positions 28 to 507 of the family's 1533-position model. The record is from RNAcentral.
GACAAACGCUGGCGGAAUGUAUUAGGCAUGCAAGUCGUACGAACCUUCGGGUUAGUGGCGAACGGGUGAGUAACACGUGGGUAACCUGCCUCGUAGUGGGGAAUAACUCGCCGAAAGGCGAGCUAAUACCGCAUAACACCCCCGGUGAGAAUCCGGGUGGUAAAAGCUCCGGCGCUACGAGAGGGGCCCGCGGCCGAUUAGCUAGUUGGUGGGGUAAUAGCCUACCAAGGCGACGAUCGGUAGCUGGUCUGAGAGGAUGGUCAGCCACACGGGGACUGAGAUACGGCCCCGACUCCUACGGGAGGCAGCAGCUAAGAAUCUUGCGCAAUGGGCGAAAGCCUGACGCAGCAAUUCCGCGUGGGGGACGAAGGCCCUCGGGUCGUAAACCCCUUUUGUGAGGGAAGAAGUUCUGACGGUACCUCACGAAUAAGACACGGCUAACUACGUG